Molecule: non-coding RNA, 76 nt
Organism: Podarcis lilfordi (Lilford's wall lizard)
Lineage: Eukaryota; Metazoa; Chordata; Lepidosauria; Squamata; Lacertidae
Source: the annotation of a GenBank genome assembly
UUCCUCAUAGCUCAGUCGGUAGAGCAGGAGACUCAUAAUCUCAGGGUCCUCGAAUCGAGCCCCAUGUUGGGCUAAA